GGGUUCAGAACGUCGUGAGACAGUUCGGUCCCUAUCCGUCGCGGGCGUUGGAAAUUUGAGAGGAGCUGUCCUUAGUACGAGAGGACCGGGAUGGACUUACCGCUGGUGUACCAGUUGUUCUGCCAAGGGCAUUGCUGGGUAGCUAUGUAGGGAAGGGAUAAACGCUGAAAGCAUCUAAGUGUGAAGCCCACCUCAAGAUGAGAUUUCCCAUUUCUUUAAGAAAGUAAGAUCCCUGAGAGAUGAUCAGGUAGAUAGGUCAGGAGUGGAAGUACAGUGAUGUAUGGAGCGGACUGAUACUAAUCGAUCGAGGACUUAACCAAU
This 321-nucleotide ribosomal RNA is filed under the name Enterococcus faecium. RNAcentral's name for it is "bacterial LSU rRNA". It matches the Rfam family "Bacterial large subunit ribosomal RNA", at positions 2607 to 2925 of the family's 2925-position model. The record is from RNAcentral. Lineage: Bacteria; Bacillati; Bacillota; Bacilli; Lactobacillales; Enterococcaceae.